RNAcentral lists this long non-coding RNA (285 nucleotides) under Coffea arabica (coffee). Its description in RNAcentral is "long non-coding RNA (CARA_LNC005308)". Lineage: Eukaryota; Viridiplantae; Streptophyta; Magnoliopsida; Gentianales; Rubiaceae. The record is from RNAcentral.
UUUAGAGGAACAUAAUAAUGCUGCGAUACUGAGUUACAGUCAUAUUGCAUGAUGAUGAUUCUGCCUAAAUUUUGAAAAGUGAAUGAGAUACUCACAUGCUCUAGCAGUAGAUCAUCCUCCUUCAAGCCAAAAGAAAUCUAUUGCACACUGACCAGUUGCAAGUUCCAAAAGAUGUUGAGUGAAUGGCCCAAAAGGUCACUAAAUUAUUAAAAAUGAUACCUUCUAGUCACCAAACUUUUUUUGUGAUCGAAAAGGUCACUAAACUCGCAAAAACUCUCCAGCGGA